Taeniopygia guttata (zebra finch) is the source of this 2901-nucleotide non-coding RNA. The record is from RefSeq and is a predicted model, not a curated record. Lineage: Eukaryota; Metazoa; Chordata; Aves; Passeriformes; Estrildidae.
CCGGAUGAAGUGUGCGGAGACAGGCGGAGCGGCCCGUGGAAAAACACCAUGGAGGGCCUGCACAAAGGGGGUUUUAUUCAAAUUUGUUUAGAGUUUAGCGGAUUUGCAUGAAAAAUGUGUGAGAAAAGCCGGCUCCAAUGACCUCAUCCCCAGCUGCCAUUAAUGUUCAAUUAAGUGCUGAAUAGUAGCAAAGGGGGGACCGGCCGGGACGUGCAGAGAAUCCAGGCUCGGGCGCAGACUGUGAGAACCGGGCGGCCCCCCCGACCGUCUGGCCCCGGCCAGCCCCGACGGGGUCCCCCCGCCGCCGCCCCGCUCUGCACCGGGAGGUGCGCUGAGCCCGUCGGGUCUCAGCCCGUCUGGGUUAUUCCCCGCAUCAGUCGCAUUCUGAAGCAGAGUGCUCCCCCGCCGCGUCCAAGGUGGGUGUUUGGAGGGGGUAAUGCCCCUCUCUGCGUUGCCGGGGCUGGUGUCACUCCCCCCGCAGCCCGCCUCGCCCGGCCCGAAGCCGCUCUCCGCCUGGCAGACGGUGUCAAAGCCCAAGUUCAAGUCCACGCCGAGGGGCUCUGCCCUGGGAUUCCCAGCUCCUUUCCAUCCUCCGCCUUUUGUUCGCUUCUGACAAUUGCUCUUUAUUUCUUACACACCCCCAGCCUCCCCCCCCGCACCCCCCUCCCUGCCCGCACUUGGCACCGUUUAGCUGUCUGCCUGCAAACUUAACAACCCCGGUUCUUGGUAUAAGCACUCAAAUUACCCUUCUUUCCACAUAUAAACACGGCCCGGGGUGUGCGGCUCUCCCCGGCCGCGGGGUCCCCCGGCACAGCCCGGCUCACCCGCACCGACCCCGGCCCCGGCCGGAGGGAGUUUCUGCUGCGGGACACGGCAGGAGAACACGAGCCGAACACAGAACCCCCGCUCUGCGUGGCUCCCCCGGGCUAGCGCUCAGGUGGUGUUGACAGAAGAAGAUGGGUAGGAGAUUUCAAUGGCAGGCACACGUGUCCCGGGAGAGGGUGAGACACCAACAGAGAUGGAAGAAAUGAGCCUUGGACAGCUGCAGGAGAGAAACCCAAACCUUCUUUGGAAAUGGGGUCACCAGCAGGCUGGGGGCCCCUUAUGAAAUACUCAUCCCUCCAGACAUCUGAGAGCAUCAAGCAGCCAUCAGGACCUGGCGUGGGUCCCAUCAGCACUGGGGAAGGUGCAGGGCUGAGCGAGGGGCUGGCAGAGACUCUGCCCCCCUUGUCUGUGGAGCUCUUAGAGGAGAGAAGGGUGCAGGAGGAGACCCCUCCUGAACAUCAGCUGCUCUGGUGGGGCUGUGCCAGACCUCCACUGCAGCCAAAAAUCACCUGGGGAAGAAGAGACACCGAACCCUCUGCAGCAGGGUGGGGCUGCAGGUUCCUGCCAGGCUUGGCGUGGGGAUGCUCCUGGCUCCACUGACCUCCCUGUGCUGCCCACAAUUCCCAUGCAGAAUGUCAAGCUGAACCCAGCAGAGACGGGAGCAGCCAGGAAGGGCAGGGAGGAAGGUGGGGACAGCAGAAGUGACAGGGAGCACAGCCUGGGCACCCUGUGCUGCUCUUGUGCCAGUGACUGUGGGCAGUGACAGGGCGCAUCUUCCGAUGACACGGAGAUGCAAGGCAGGAUGCUCCUGGAGCAGAGCAGUGAGGGUGGCAGGUGCCACUCAGAACCCAUCACGCUGCUGGGAUGUGCCCACGGAUAGAAGGGGAAAUGUGAAAGGGACAGCAGGGAAUCAAGGGAACACAACAGCACCUAAAGUAACGGGGUGAAGACUGAACGUUUGAAACAAAGGUGGUCUGGGCUCAGAUGGGAGAGAAGAUCCAUCCUGGAGCAUCUCCUUCUCUGGAAGAUGAUUUCAGAGGGGUUGUGAAUGUUUGAACUGGGUCAGGAUUUGCCUGGGAAACGCUAGGCUGGUGUUUCUAGUGUGAUUGCAACCAAGCCAGCUCUGCUGGGGAUGGCUGCAAUGUUUAUUCCUGCUGGGGAAGGAAGGGAUCAGCUGACUUUUAGAUCCCCAAAACCAUAAAGAGUGGGAAUGGGCCCUUUCCCAUGAUCAUGGACCAUGAUCAUAUUACUUCACCUCAGGGCUUUUCACAUGUCAGCCAUGUCCCAAAAAAAUUAAAUUAUGAAAAAGGGGGGAAUAAACCCCAAUGCAAGCAAGGCAGCACAACCUCCUCCCCUGCCUUAGGGCUGCCCUUACUAAAGGCUCUAUUGACCCUGUUUCCUAUUUUUGGGACCUGAAAGGUGAACUGUAGAUACAGAGCAAACAUCCCUUCAUGGAGGUCUCUCUUUUCACCCUUAGAACAGAGACCCUCCCAUUUCCACAGCUGCUGGGUGCAGCCUCCUGGUCUCACCAUCACAGCCUUUUGUCCCAAGCAAGAGCUUCCUUUGGGAAGGCAAUUUCAUUCCCAUGCACCUUCCCUGGUUUUCUUUGGGUCUGUGUCCCCUCUCCAGCACCCCUUUACCCUAUUAAUAGCCUUUGACUGUCCUCACACCUGCAGACAAUCUGGUCCCCAACCACCUCCACCUCCCCCCUUCCUCAAAAGCUUCCCUCAGCUGUCUUUAAGUCGUAGCUGAAAUCUGUGGUAUGUAGGAGGAGAAAUUCAGUCUGACAGCAGUUUAAAACACCGCACUACUUGGCAGAUUUAAAUGCUAUUUUAAAUAUAAGCUAUGACACAACGGACAAAAAUAGCAUUGAAAAUACCCUGUCAUGUUCCAUAUUGCGAGGAAUAGGGAAGCAGACCAGGCUAGAAAGGAGCAGAGAGAGGGGCCAGAUGGAGAGGAGAGGUUAUUUUGUUUGUUUUAAAGAAACUGGAUAAAUGUAUUUUGUAUGUGACUGAGUAAAUGUGUUUUGUAGAGCAACGAGCCAAAAAAAAAAAAAAUAAACCUUCUCAUGAAAAA